This 699-nucleotide ribosomal RNA is filed under the name Streptomyces sp. ME-32b. Its description in RNAcentral is "bacterial SSU rRNA". It matches the Rfam family "Bacterial small subunit ribosomal RNA", at positions 62 to 778 of the family's 1533-position model. Lineage: Bacteria; Bacillati; Actinomycetota; Actinomycetes; Kitasatosporales; Streptomycetaceae. The record is from RNAcentral.
UCGAACGAUGAAGCCCUUCGGGGUGGAUUAGUGGCGAACGGGUGAGUAACACGUGGGCAAUCUGCCCUUCACUCUGGGACAAGCCUUGGAAACGAGGUCUAAUACCGGAUAACACUCCCAUUCUCCUGGAUGGGGGUUAAAAGCUCCGGCGGUGAAGGAUGAGCCCGCGGCCUAUCAGCUUGUUGGUGAGGUAAUGGCUCACCAAGGCGACGACGGGUAGCCGGCCUGAGAGGGCGACCGGCCACACUGGGACUGAGACACGGCCCAGACUCCUACGGGAGGCAGCAGUGGGGAAUAUUGCACAAUGGGCGAAAGCCUGAUGCAGCGACGCCGCGUGAGGGAUGACGGCCUUCGGGUUGUAAACCUCUUUCAGCAGGGAAGAAGCGAAAGUGACGGUACCUGCAGAAGAAGCGCCGGCUAACUACGUGCCAGCAGCCGCGGUAAUACGUAGGGCGCAAGCGUUGUCCGGAAUUAUUGGGCGUAAAGAGCUCGUAGGCGGCUUGUCACGUCGAUUGUGAAAGCUCGGGGCUUAACCCCGAGUCUGCAGUCGAUACGGGCUAGCUAGAGUGUGGUAGGGGAGAUCGGAAUUCCUGGUGUAGCGGUGAAAUGCGCAGAUAUCAGGAGGAACACCGGUGGCGAAGGCGGAUCUCUGGGCCAUUACUGACGCUGAGGAGCGAAAGCGUGGGGAGCGAACAGGAU